RNAcentral lists this ribosomal RNA (253 nucleotides) under uncultured bacterium. Its description in RNAcentral is "partial 16S ribosomal RNA". It matches the Rfam family "Bacterial small subunit ribosomal RNA", at positions 524 to 776 of the family's 1533-position model. The record is from RNAcentral.
UACGUAGGGAGCAAGCGUUGUCCGGAUUUACUGGGUGUAAAGGGUGCGUAGGCGGAUCUGCAAGUCAGGCGUGAAAUCCAUGGGCUUAACCCAUGAACUGCGCUUGAAACUGUGGGUCUUGAGUGAAGUAGAGGUAGGCGGAAUUCCCGGUGUAGCGGUGAAAUGCGUAGAGAUCGGGAGGAACACCAGUGGCGAAGGCGGCCUACUGGGCUUUAACUGACGCUGAGGCACGAAAGUGUGGGUAGCAAACAGG